GGACCAUUAGCUCAGCAGGAUAGAGCGUCCGAUUCCUAAUCGGAAGGCCACAGGUUCGAAUCCUGUAUGGUCCA
RNAcentral lists this transfer RNA (74 nucleotides) under Alphaproteobacteria bacterium. Its description in RNAcentral is "tRNA-Arg". It matches the Rfam family "tRNA". Rfam says of the family: Transfer RNA (tRNA) molecules are approximately 80 nucleotides in length. Their secondary structure includes four short double-helical elements and three loops (D, anti-codon, and T loops). Further hydrogen bonds mediate the characteristic L-shaped molecular structure. tRNAs have two regions of fundamental functional importance: the anti-codon, which is responsible for specific mRNA codon recognition, and the 3' end, to which the tRNAs corresponding amino acid is attached (by aminoacyl-tRNA synthetases). tRNAs cope with the degeneracy of the genetic code in two manners: having more than one tRNA (with a specific anti-codon) for a particular amino acid; and 'wobble' base-pairing, i.e. permitting non-standard base-pairing at the 3rd anti-codon position. Lineage: Bacteria; Pseudomonadati; Pseudomonadota; Alphaproteobacteria. RNAcentral also lists the same sequence under 1 other name. The record is from RNAcentral.